CUUGAUGGACCCCAGCCACAGGGGCUGUCCGGCGGGGCGGUUCCGGCCGUACGUGGCCAGCAGGGCCUGGGCCUC
This 75-nucleotide antisense RNA is filed under the name Streptomyces bingchenggensis BCW-1. Its description in RNAcentral is "ASpks TB sRNA". It matches the Rfam family "ASpks TB sRNA". The record is from Rfam by way of RNAcentral. Lineage: Bacteria; Bacillati; Actinomycetota; Actinomycetes; Kitasatosporales; Streptomycetaceae.